CCUACGGGAGGCUGCAGUGAGGAAUAUUGGUCAAUGGGCGGGAGCCUGAACCAGCCAAGUCGCGUGAGGGAAGACGGUCCUAUGGAUUGUAAACCUCUUUAGGCGGGGAGCAAUGCCGGGCACGUGUGCCCGGAGGGAGAGUACCCGCAGAAUAAGCAUCGGCUAACUCCGUGCCAGCAGCCGCGGUAAUACGGAGGAUGCGAGCGUUAUCCGGAUUUAUUGGGUUUAAAGGGUGCGUAGGCGGAUUUUUAAGUCAGCGGUAAAAUGUCCGGGCUCAACCCGGGCCGGCCGUUGAAACAGGGGAGCUUGAGUGGGCGAGAAGUAUGCGGAAUGCGUGGUGUAGCGGUGAAAUGCAUAGAUAUCACGCAGAACUCCGAUUGCGAAGGCAGCAUACCGGCGCCCGACUGACGCUGAGGCACGAAAGCGUGGGGAUCGAACAGGAUUAGAUACCCGAGUAGUC
This 460-nucleotide ribosomal RNA is filed under the name uncultured bacterium. RNAcentral's name for it is "partial 16S ribosomal RNA". It matches the Rfam family "Bacterial small subunit ribosomal RNA", at positions 338 to 795 of the family's 1533-position model. The record is from RNAcentral.